CCAGACGUGCAAGUGGCGUUACCUACGCGCCGGGGUGAAACUUGCAAGCUCCCCUUAUCGAGCUUUCAGAUGGCUGUGCCUUUCAGAUUUUGACGUUUCCGUUCAUCUUUCUCCUCUCGUACCCCCCUUUCUCCUCCCCUAUUUUUUUACACGGUUCCUCGUACAUUUCAGUAAGUCAAUCUCGUCGGCAGAGAAUCAUCCCCCGACAUGCCACGAAAAAUCGGAUUCAACGUCGUGUACGCAACCAGCGAGGAGGACAGGCACUCUUCGUUGGAGCUAAACAUACAUGGACCGACGGUAAGGGGUUGGCAAAGUUCGCGAAGAUGUACAUAUCCUCAAGAACUCAUUCUUCGUCUUCACGGGCCGACGAAGCUCACAAGGAUACAAGUCUUAGCUCAUCAAUAUCUAAUUCCCGAGAAGCUAGAAAUUUGGACGUCGAAGGAGGAAAAUGCGUCCGUCACGACGGAGUUCAGUUAUUUGGGUUACAUCACGUUGUCGGACAAUGCCUCGACCAUGUACAAAAGCAGAGAGUUGAAAAGCGUCGCCCUUCCGGAGACAGAAGCUGUCUCGUUGAAAUUGAGACUGCACAAACCGCACAGUAACGCGCACAAUGUUUAUCAACAGGUCGGUCUUAUCGCUAUCAAUAUUCUUGGUGAACCUUAUGGACAAGAGCUGACUGGUCAAGGGGAUGCACCGUACAAUCCCCAUUACACGUCUCCAUAUGACGACCUGGCAUUCGAGAUGUACGUUGAUCGUGACGUCGCGAAGAUCAUAAGGCAGAUGGAGGCGAAGAAACUGCAGGCUGUGGAAGAGGAGAGGUUCGAGUACGCUUCCAAGUUGAAGGUGGCGAUGGAGAAUCUCAGGAAAGCGGGUGAACGUCUCGGAAAGUAUGAAUUGGAGAAAAAAUAUGCUAUAGCUCUGGAAGAUUACGAUAAGGCCAAGGCGAAGAAGGCUCAAGCGCAACAAUAUAGGCAGCAGGUGUACCAAAGCUUGGAGGUGCAAGAUCUACUUGAACUUCACGGGCCACUGGAGAAAAAUAAUAUGUCAUCCAUGGAAGGAAAGGAACCCAUCUCGGUGGACACGUGUAGCUCCAACGCGACGGCUGCUCCUGAAGAUAUCACAUCUCCCCCGAGAUUGGUGAUCCCUCCGAACCGCGAUGGAGCUAUAUCGCCAACAGGUCCUGCACAUCAACCACCUGUUUCGCCUUUGCAUCAGAAACCAAAUAGUCCUGAAGUGACCGAUAGCCCCACGAACGGUGUCAUAGAAAGGCAGAAUAACUGCAACAAAGGAUCUCUUAGAAGGAAAACGAAAUCCGCAGGACCGGCGCUUCGAUCCAGUUACGAGGCUUACGAGGAGAGGACGAUACCCGCUUUGAGACACUCGCACACGAACGAGUUUACCAGAGAGUGUCACAUGGAUAAUUCGGAAACGAAGGCGAUAUCGAAACUGAACGACAGGGAGAAGAAGCAAGCUGCCUUACCUAUAGCCGUUUUUGGAAUGGAAAUGGUGGAGAAAUUCUACUCGAAACAGUUCACGGACAAGGAGGAAGGUUUGAUGCAGUUGAAGGAAGAGUUGAAGACGUUCGAUCCGGAAGUCUCGAAGCACUCCGCGAAUAAAACGGCGAGAGCAGCCAUUUUGUUGUUGCACAGAGCUCUCAGAGACAAAGUUUUCAGUGUCUACAGCCUGGCAGCGCAGUUGAUCAGGAUUUUCUUCGCGGAAUUCGCGACGGAUAGAGUAUCGUCAACGGAAAUUGCGAGGAGCGUAGAAAGAUUACUACCGGAAUUAUUAACAAAGUCAGGCGAUACCACCCCGAGAAUUCAUAAUAUGGCAGUGCACACGAUACUGAGUAUGGCGGAUUGUAAAUGCGUGAGAGAGUUGCACAUCAUACCGGUGCAUCUGACACGACCCGUUAGCAGUAGUACGCAUCAAAGACUGGCCCUCAGUAGGCUAGAAAUGGUGGAGCAAUUAAUUUUGAACCACGGGAUUUCUACUGAUAAACAAAGUGGACUCACGUGUCGAACGUUGUCAGAGCUGGGUUCUUCGGGGUUGCACCAUCCAGCGGAAGCGGUGAGGAAAGUUUCAGAAAGGAUUUUAGUACUUGUGUACAAAGUGAACCCUAGGUUGGUUCGCAAGCAGCUACCUCCUGACGACGAUAUUACUAGGAGGAACUUAUUAUACCGUCAAUUGUUUCAUGAAUUCGAUCUCAUUGAUCUGCAGAGGAAAAAGGAAGCGGAAGCCAGUCACAAAACAACGACACCUACACGGACAAAAUCGACGGAAAAUAAUGUAGCGAACUUGACGAAAUCUCCUUCGCGAACUAGUCCUGUCGUUAGCACCGGAAGUUCAACAAGUAUAACAUCUCCGUCCGAGAAUAGUACAGAGCACAAGGGUGAUAAAAUAUGCAUAUUCUGUCUCUCCAAGGGGCAAGGAUAUUCCGAGGAGGGAUUAAAUAUUCAUUAUUGGAAAAGUUGUCCGAUGCUAACGAAGUGCGAGGCGUGCAAGCAAGUGGUAGAAAUUUCGUAUUUGAAUUUACACUUAUUAAACGAAUGUGAUAUGCGAAGCAAUUACGUCAAAUGUGACACGUGCAAACUAGCGAUUAACGAGCAUUCCUUCGAGGAGCAUAGGAAAGACAACAAGUGUACAAAACCCAUCGAGGGCUACGACCGCUGUCCACUCUGUUCGACUCUUGUAAAUCAGAACAAAUGGAAGGAACAUCUCAUGGGUGAUCAUCCUUGUACGAACAAUCCACGAAACAAACUAGGAAAAACCUGUGGAAGGCUAAGGAGAUCCCGCGGAAGCACGGGAGAGAAAUGGAUCGAAUUGACAAAGAGGCACGUGCGAAGAGAAAGAAAGCCCCGGGGACGUUGGUAGGUGGGAGUCGGAGCAGGGUGAUGUUGGCGGGGGUGGAAACGAUGGCCCGUACGCUGCAACCCCUCAGUAACGCGCAAGCCCCUGUCGAAGAGGUAGCUUCGUUCGUGCUUUAUUCGGAUCGCGAACAGUUUUCCUUCCACAAAUCACGUCCGCCGAUUACACCGUCGACCUCCUCGUCGAGGACAGCGUAAUUCUCUCAUGGAACUAUUUGCUUCCACCGCGAAACCGUCGAAGAAACAAAACAACGCGGCGAUCCUCCUCGCACGAUCAACAGGUUAAUUCUUCGACGAGUCUGGUUUACGGACGUAUCGAUCGACUCGAAGAUCCUCGAAAACAACAAGUGUACCGUUACCUUCAUCUCGAAUCAGAGGCAGAAAAUGC
This 3252-nucleotide unclassified non-coding RNA is filed under the name Megachile rotundata (alfalfa leafcutting bee). RNAcentral's name for it is "centrosomal protein of 104 kDa, transcript variant X3". Lineage: Eukaryota; Metazoa; Arthropoda; Insecta; Hymenoptera; Megachilidae. The record is from RNAcentral.